Molecule: ribosomal RNA, 1599 nt
Filed under: Triticum aestivum (bread wheat)
Lineage: Eukaryota; Viridiplantae; Streptophyta; Magnoliopsida; Poales; Poaceae
Description: partial small subunit ribosomal RNA
Source: RNAcentral
AUGGCGACACCCGCCGCCACCACCUCCUCGCUCUCCCUCCUCUUCGCCCACCCCCACUUCCACCACCCCUCCACCAAGCAGCGCCUCGACAGGUCCCAUCUCCGCCUCCCGCUCCGCGCCGCCGCGCACCGCACGCGCUGCGCCACCGAGGGCGCCUCGGCGUCGACCGCCACCAAGCACCGGCGCCCCGCGGAGGAGAACAUCAGGGAGGAGGCCGCGCGCCUCCGCGGGCCCGCCACGACCUUCUCGGCGUGGUACGAGCCGUUCCCCCCGGCCUCCGAUGGCGACCCCAACGAGCGCUACUCGCUCGACGAGGUCGUCUACCGCUCCACCUCCGGCGGCCUCCUCGACGUCCGCCACGACAUGGACGCGCUCGCGCGCUUCCCGGGCUCCUACUGGCGCGACCUCUUCGACUCCCGCGUCGGCCGCACCACCUGGCCCUACGGCUCCGGCGUCUGGUCCAAGAAGGAGUUCGUGCUCCCGGAGAUCGACUCCGACCACAUCGUCUCUCUCUUCGAGGGCAACAGCAACCUCUUCUGGGCGGAGCGCCUCGGCCGCGAGCACCUCGGCGGGAUGAAUGACCUCUGGGUCAAGCAGUGCGGCAUCUCGCACACUGGCUCCUUCAAGGACCUCGGCAUGACGGCGCUCGUCAGCCAGGUCAAUCGCCUCCGCCGGGCUCCGCUCUCGCGCCCCAUCAACGGCGUGGGGUGCGCGUCCACUGGCGACACCUCCGCCGCGCUCUCGGCCUACUGUGCCGCUGCGGGCAUCCCCGCCAUCGUGUUCCUCCCCGCAGACCGCAUCUCGCUGCAGCAGCUCAUCCAGCCCAUCGCCAACGGCGCCACGGUGCUCUCGCUUGACACCGAUUUCGACGGAUGCAUGCGGCUUAUCAGGGAGGUGACAGCUGAGCUGCCCAUAUACCUCGCAAACUCACUCAACUCGCUUCGGCUGGAGGGGCAGAAGACUGCAGCCAUAGAGAUAUUGCAACAGUUCAAUUGGCAGGUGCCGGACUGGGUCAUUAUCCCAGGAGGCAAUCUGGGCAACAUUUAUGCUUUCUACAAGGGGUUUGAGAUGUGCCGUGCUCUUGGGCUAGUUGAUCGUGUUCCACGGCUUGUAUGUGCACAGGCUGCCAAUGCAAAUCCACUGUACCGGUAUUACAAGUCUGGGUGGACUGACUUCCAAUCACUUGUUGCUGGAACUACAUUUGCAUCUGCCAUACAGAUUGGUGAUCCAGUAUCUAUUGACCGUGCGGUUGUUGCGCUGAAGGCAACCGAUGGCAUUGUUGAGGAAGCUACAGAGGAGGAGCUUAUGGAUGCGACGGCUCUUGCUGACCUCACUGGGAUGUUUGCUUGCCCACAUACUGGGGUUGCACUUGCUGCCCUGUUCAAGCUCCGUGACCAGGGUAUGAUUGGCACUAAUGACCGCACGGUGGUUGUUAGUACAGCACACGGGCUAAAGUUCACACAAUCAAAGAUCGACUACCAUGAUAAGAACAUCAAGGACAUGUUGUGCCAGUAUGCCAAUCCACCGAUCAGUGUGAAGCCUGACUUUGGGUCUGUCAUGGAUGUUCUCCAGAAGAAGCUCAAUGGUGUUCUGCUGUAA